Non-coding RNA from Pelobates cultripes (western spadefoot toad), 548 nucleotides. Lineage: Eukaryota; Metazoa; Chordata; Amphibia; Anura; Pelobatidae. The record is from the annotation of a GenBank genome assembly.
GUGGUUGUGGUGCCUAGAGUGUCCUUUUAAUAGGGCCGUUUGAAAAAUAAAUGCUAGUUAUAAGGCUGGAUUUGUUGCAUGUUUUAUUGGGAAUUUACAGCAUGACAAUGUGACAAUCACAAGCGUAUGUGGCCCUGAAACUGAGGAUUUUGUUACGAAACUGUAAAAGCUAGGAGCUUUAAUGCAUGACAUUUAAAGUGAACAUGUGACAAGCCAUUCUAAAGGCAGCCAUUACUGUGGCAACAACAAAGCAGCUCAGACUACACCACAUCCCUUCUCGCAAAAAAAAAAAACCCCAACAACAACAACAAUAAUCAUACACAUUACAGUAAUACGUGACAGUAUUUAAGUAAUAAAAAUGAUAGUGAUAAUAAAUGAAAGUAUGUUUAUAUUUUCUGGAGCCAUACAUCAUAUGUACUAUAUAAUCAUUUCUAAGAUCAUCUUGAACCUAAAAUUAGAUUAUAACAAUACUGCCAAUAAAUGUAUAUUAUUACUAUUAUCUAACUAAAUUACAAUAAUUUUAUCUGCAAUUGCCACUUGGAAGUGUC